RNAcentral lists this transfer RNA (73 nucleotides) under Paramuricea clavata. It matches the Rfam family "tRNA". Rfam says of the family: Transfer RNA (tRNA) molecules are approximately 80 nucleotides in length. Their secondary structure includes four short double-helical elements and three loops (D, anti-codon, and T loops). Lineage: Eukaryota; Metazoa; Cnidaria; Anthozoa; Malacalcyonacea; Plexauridae. The record is from Rfam by way of RNAcentral.
GCCCGGUUAGCUCAGUUGGUAGAGCAUCAGACUUUUAAUCUGAGGGUCAUGGGUUCGAGUCCCAUAUCGGGCU